Molecule: ribosomal RNA, 256 nt
Filed under: Blepharisma japonicum
Lineage: Eukaryota; Ciliophora; Heterotrichea; Heterotrichida; Blepharismidae
Description: partial Bacterial large subunit ribosomal RNA
Rfam family: Bacterial large subunit ribosomal RNA
Source: RNAcentral
AGUUAGGCAAUCUGCCUGUUGGAUGGCAGUUUAAGCGUUUAGGCGUGCUCUUUAGGCAAAUCCGGAGAGCUAAGCUGAGGCGUGAUGACGAGUCUCUUUGAGACGAAGUUGCUGAUACUCGGCUUCCAAGAAAAACCUCUAAGCUUCAGGUUACAAAGAGCCGUACCCCAAACCGACACAGGUGGGCGAGGAGAGUAUCCUCAGGCGUUUGAGACAACUCGGGUGAAGGAACUCGGCAAAUUAGUACCGUAACUUC